RNAcentral lists this long non-coding RNA (465 nucleotides) under Pongo abelii (Sumatran orangutan). Its description in RNAcentral is "lincRNA". The record is from RNAcentral. Lineage: Eukaryota; Metazoa; Chordata; Mammalia; Primates; Hominidae.
CCCAACUUAUACAUGGCACUCCAAGGGGAUGCUUCAGCCAGAAAGUAAAGGGCUGAAAGAGUAGAACAAUAAAAAGCCCUAGUGUGGUGGGAACUGUGGCUUCACUCUUACUUGUUCUUCCAUUCAAAACAGUUUGGCACCUUUCCAUGACCAGGAUCUCUACAGGACUCUGCCUGAGAUAGUUUGAGAAAUUUUAUACAUUCCUCCAAAGAAAAAAAAUACAGAAAAGCUAUUUCAAAACCAAAAUCUCCUUAUUUUCCUGGAAUAGAAUGAGGAGAAAACAACUAUUUUUGAGCCAUUAAUGUCUGACAGUUCCAGAAUGCAACAAUUAAAAAUUGUUACCAACUUGUGACAAUUCCAUUAUAUACAUGGCUAAAAAGUUUUCCUGGGAGAGUGUACAAAAUAUGUUACCAAACCUAUCAAAAGCCAUGCAAUAAAAAAUGACUGAAUAAUAAUAAAGAAAAA